GGCCUUGACAUACUAAGAACUUUCCAGAGAUGGAUUGGUGCCUUCGGGAACUUAGAUACAGGUGCUGCAUGGCUGUCGUCAGCUCGUGUCGUGAGAUGUUGGGUUAAGUCCCGCAACGAGCGCAACCCUUUUCCUAUUUGCCAGCGGGUAAUGCCGGGAACUUUAAGGAUACUGCCAGUGACAAACUGGAGGAAGGCGGGAACGACGUCAAGUCAUCAUGGCCCUUACGGCCAGGGCUACACACGUGCUACAAUGGUCGGUACAAAGGGUUGCUACCUCGCGAGAGGAUGCUAAUCUCAAAAAGCUGAUCGUAGUCCGGAUCGCAGUCUGCAACUCGACUGCGUGAAGUCGGAAUCGCUAGUAAUCGCGGAUCAGAAUGCCGCGGUGAAUACGUUCCCGGGCCUUGUACACACCGCCCGUCACACCAUGGGAGUUUGUUGCACCAGAAGUAGGUAGUCUAACCGCAAGGAGGACGCUUACCACGGUGUGGCCGAUGACUGGGGUGAAGUCGUAACAAGGUAGGCGUAGAUGA
This 532-nucleotide ribosomal RNA is filed under the name uncultured bacterium. RNAcentral describes it as "bacterial SSU rRNA". It matches the Rfam family "Bacterial small subunit ribosomal RNA", at positions 977 to 1509 of the family's 1533-position model. The record is from RNAcentral.